RNAcentral lists this ribosomal RNA (253 nucleotides) under uncultured bacterium. RNAcentral's name for it is "partial 16S ribosomal RNA". It matches the Rfam family "Bacterial small subunit ribosomal RNA", at positions 524 to 776 of the family's 1533-position model. The record is from RNAcentral.
UACGAAGGGGGCUAGCGUUGUUCGGAAUUACUGGGCGUAAAGCGUGCGCAGGCGGUGAGCUGUGUCCGAUGUGAAAGCCCCGGGCUUAACCUGGGAAUGGCAUUGGAAACUGGCUCGCUGGAGUGUGGCAGAGGGGGGUGGAAUUCCGCGUGUAGCAGUGAAAUGCGUAGAGAUGCGGAGGAACACCGAUGGCGAAGGCAGCCCCCUGGGCUAACACUGACGCUCAGGCACGAAAGCGUGGGGAGCAAACAGG